CCUACGGGUGGCAGCAGUGGGGAAUAUUGCACAAUGGGGGAAACCCUGAUGCAGCAACGCCGCGUGAGUGAAGAAGUAUUUCGGUAUGUAAAGCUCUAUCAGCAGGGAAGAUAAUGACGGUACCUGACUAAGAAGCUCCGGCUAAAUACGUGCCAGCAGCCGCGGUAAUACGUAUGGAGCAAGCGUUAUCCGGAUUUACUGGGUGUAAAGGGUGCGUAGGUGGCAGUGCAAGUCAGAUGUGAAAGGCCGGGGCUCAACCCCGGGACUGCUUUGGAAACUGUUAAGCUGGAGUGCUGGAGAGGUAAGCGGAAUUCCUAGUGUAGCGGUGAAAUGCGUAGAUAUUAGGAGGAACACCAGUGGCGAAGGCGGCUUACUGGACGGUAACUGACGUUGAGGCUCGAAAGCGUGGGGAGCAAACAGGAUU
RNAcentral lists this ribosomal RNA (424 nucleotides) under uncultured Megamonas sp. Its description in RNAcentral is "bacterial SSU rRNA". It matches the Rfam family "Bacterial small subunit ribosomal RNA", at positions 338 to 779 of the family's 1533-position model. Lineage: Bacteria; Bacillati; Bacillota; Negativicutes; Selenomonadales; Selenomonadaceae. The record is from RNAcentral.